This is a non-coding RNA of Dissulfuribacter thermophilus, 167 nucleotides long. NCBI's taxonomy places the organism in Bacteria, Pseudomonadati, Thermodesulfobacteriota, Dissulfuribacteria, Dissulfuribacterales, Dissulfuribacteraceae. The record is from Rfam.
GCCACUGUGAGGUGGGGUCUGGAGGAAGCCUGAGUGCAAAACUGCGAGCCGACGAACAGGAACUGCAUAAAAGGCCGAACACCCUGGGUGAACUAGCCAGGCAUAGCAAAACCCUGUGGCUCAAGGGACACGGUAGAUGCAGCGGAAGGGCUGUGAAAGUCCAUGCU